GACGAACGCUGGCGGCGUGCUUAACACAUGCAAGUCGAACGGAAAGGCCCUGCUUUUGUGGGGUGCUCGAGUGGCGAACGGGUGAGUAACACGUGAGUAACCUGCCCUUGACUUUGGGAUAACUUCAGGAAACUGGGGCUAAUACCGGAUAGGAGCUCCUGCUGCAUGGUGGGGGUUGGAAAGUUUCGGCGGUUGGGGAUGGACUCGCGGCUUAUCAGCUUGUUGGUGGGGUAGUGGCUUACCAAGGCUUUGACGGGUAGCCGGCCUGAGAGGGUGACCGGCCACAAUGGGACUGAGAUACGGCCCAGACUCCUACGGGAGGCAGCAGUGGGGAAUAUUGCACAAUGGGCGGACGCCUGAUGCAGCAACGCCGCGUGCGGGAUGACGGCCUUCGGGUUGUAAACCGCUUUCGCCUGUGACGAAGCGUGAGUGACGGUAAUGGGUAAAGAAGCACCGGCUAACUACGUG
This 468-nucleotide ribosomal RNA is filed under the name uncultured bacterium. RNAcentral's name for it is "partial 16S ribosomal RNA". It matches the Rfam family "Bacterial small subunit ribosomal RNA", at positions 28 to 507 of the family's 1533-position model. The record is from RNAcentral.